UACGGAGGAUGCAAGCGUUGUCCGGAAUUAUUGGGCGUAAAGCGUCCGUAGGUGGUUGAGCAAGUCUGUUGUCAAAGCGUGCCGCUUAACGGCAUAACGGCGAUGGAAACUGCUGAGCUAGAGGCCGGUAGGGGUCAGGGGAAUUCCCAGUGUAGCGGUGAAAUGCGUAGAUAUUGGGAAGAACACCAGCGGCGAAAGCGCCUGACUGGGCCGGAACUGACACUGAUGGACGAAAGCUAGGGGAGCGAAAGGG
Molecule: ribosomal RNA, 253 nt
Filed under: uncultured bacterium
Lineage: Bacteria
Description: partial 16S ribosomal RNA
Rfam family: Bacterial small subunit ribosomal RNA
Source: RNAcentral